UACGGAGGAUCCGAGCGUUAUCCGGAUUUACUGGGUGUAAAGGGAGCGUAGACGGCUAAUCAAGUCAGAAGUGAAAACCCAGGGCUCAACCUUGGGACUGCUUUUGAAACUGAGUAGCUAGAGUGCAGGAGAGGUAAGCGGAAUUCCUAGUGUAGCGGUGAAAUGCGUAGAUAUUAGGAGGAACACCAGUGGCGAAGGCGACUUUCUGGACAGUAACUGACGUUGAGGCACGAAAGUGUGGGGAGCAAACAGG
This 253-nucleotide ribosomal RNA is filed under the name uncultured Lachnospiraceae bacterium. RNAcentral's name for it is "partial 16S ribosomal RNA". It matches the Rfam family "Bacterial small subunit ribosomal RNA", at positions 524 to 776 of the family's 1533-position model. The record is from RNAcentral. Lineage: Bacteria; Bacillati; Bacillota; Clostridia; Lachnospirales; Lachnospiraceae.